AAGUCGUAACAAGGUAACCGUAGGUGAACCUGCGGUUGGAUCAUUACUAAAUAAUUUGCGCCCCUUGGUGCCGUGAAAACGCGCCUCGGGCCCAACAAAUUAAACCACCCCUUUGUGAACUGUUAACCGUGUUUUGGCAGCCCUCCAAAAACUGGUGCUUCCGGCCUAAACCGCCGCGCGGCACCUUGGGCUGCCAGCUUCGUACCAACACCAAUGUAUUUUACCAUAUUAUCAAUGUCAACCGAAAGAUUUCGAUAAGAGUCUUUGUUAUGAAAAUAAUAAACAACUUUUGACAACGGAUCUCUUGGCUCUC
RNAcentral lists this unclassified non-coding RNA (313 nucleotides) under fungal sp. RNAcentral's name for it is "partial internal transcribed spacer region". The stretch from base 1 to 46 matches the Rfam family "Eukaryotic small subunit ribosomal RNA", at positions 1786 to 1831 of the family's 1831-position model. Lineage: Eukaryota; Fungi. The record is from RNAcentral.